Molecule: unclassified non-coding RNA, 402 nt
Filed under: soil metagenome
Description: partial contains 5.8S ribosomal RNA, internal transcribed spacer 2, and large subunit ribosomal RNA
Rfam family: 5.8S ribosomal RNA (bases 1-121)
Source: RNAcentral
GAUGAAGAACGCAGCGAAAUGCGAUAAGUAAUGUGAAUUGCAGAAUUCAGUGAAUCAUCGAAUCUUUGAACGCACCUUGCGCCCUUUGGCCAUUCCGAAGGGCAUGCCUGUUUGAGUAUCAUGAACACCUCAACUCUCAUGGCUCGCCGUGAUGAGCUUGGACUUUGGGGGUCUUGCUGGCCUGUGGUCGGCUCCUCUCAAAUGGAUCAGCUUGCCAGUGUUUGGUGGCAUCACAGGUGUGAUAACUAUCUGCGCUUGUGGUUUUCCAUCAGAUAACCUUCAGUGAUGGAGGUUCGCUGGAGCUCAUAAACGUCUCCCCUAAGCGGGGACAGCCCUUUGAAUGUUUGAUCUCAAAUCAGGUAGGACUACCCGCUGAACUUAAGCAUAUCAAUAAGCGGAGGA